AUGUCGAUUCUUGAUUUGUCGUGCAACAAUUUAACUGGAGCGAUCCCUCAAGAUAUUGGUGCUUUAAUUGGAUUAAGAAGUCUGAACUUUUCAUGGAACAACUUAAGUGGUGCAAUCCCUGAAAAAAUUUGUGAGCUUGAGCAAUUGGAAUCUCUGGACCUGUCAAAUAAUGAGCUUUCACACGAAAUCCCUUCAAGCAUGACAGCUCUUACCUCUUUGAGCCAUAUGAACCUGUCAUAUAACUCUCUGUCAGGAAUGAUACCAACUGGUAAUCAGUUUCAUACUUAUGACGCAUCCGUCUACAUUGGGAACACUGGUUUAUGUGGUUACCCCUUGACAAACAUCUGUCCAGGAAAUAGUUCAAGUCGACCUACACAUGCAGGUCAUGGAGAUGGAUCUGAGGAUAUAUCCCUUUACCUUGGUUUGGCUGUUGGGUAUAUCCUUGGCCUUUGGGUGGUCUUCUGUGUGAUGUUGUUUAAAAAAAGCUGA
RNAcentral lists this ribosomal RNA (489 nucleotides) under Triticum aestivum (bread wheat). RNAcentral describes it as "partial small subunit ribosomal RNA". Lineage: Eukaryota; Viridiplantae; Streptophyta; Magnoliopsida; Poales; Poaceae. The record is from RNAcentral.